RNAcentral lists this transfer RNA (85 nucleotides) under Xylariaceae sp. FL1651. RNAcentral describes it as "tRNA-Asn". It matches the Rfam family "tRNA". Rfam says of the family: Transfer RNA (tRNA) molecules are approximately 80 nucleotides in length. Their secondary structure includes four short double-helical elements and three loops (D, anti-codon, and T loops). Lineage: Eukaryota; Fungi; Ascomycota; Sordariomycetes; Xylariales; Xylariaceae. The record is from RNAcentral.
UCCUCCGUGGCGCAAUUGGCUAGCGCGUCUGACUGUUAUUCAACAGAUUAUCAGGAGGUUGACAGUUCAAGCCUGUCCGGGGGAG